This 253-nucleotide ribosomal RNA is filed under the name uncultured bacterium. RNAcentral describes it as "partial 16S ribosomal RNA". It matches the Rfam family "Bacterial small subunit ribosomal RNA", at positions 524 to 776 of the family's 1533-position model. The record is from RNAcentral.
UACGUAGGCAGCGAGCGUUGUUCGGAUUCAUUGGGCGUAAAGGGUGCGUAGGCGGCGCGGUAAGUCGGGUGUGAAAUCUUGGAGCUUAACUCCGAAACUGCAUUCGAUACUGCCGUGCUUGAGGACUGGAGAGGAGACUGGAAUUUACGGUGUAGCGGUGAAAUGCGUAGAUAUCGAGAGGAACACCUGCGGCGAAGGCGGGUUGCUGGGCUGACACUGACGCUGAGGCGCGAAAGCCAGGGGAGCGAACGGG